This 252-nucleotide long non-coding RNA is filed under the name Brassica napus (rape). RNAcentral describes it as "long non-coding RNA (BNAP_LNC024569)". Lineage: Eukaryota; Viridiplantae; Streptophyta; Magnoliopsida; Brassicales; Brassicaceae. The record is from RNAcentral.
AUUUUGACAAGGUUAAGUGUAUUAGACGAAAUUUACAUUUAAAAUUCCGCGGAAAAAAGUUGUCGAGACGACAUUCCGAACCCAUAAUUCUAUAAGUAGUGAGUUCUUGCCAUUCAUUUUCUCCACACCUUCCCUUCUUCAUUUCUUCAAAAACCUCUCUAGUUUCAUAACUUUCGUCUCAACAUGUCUUCUUCCCAAGGUGAUAAGAAGGAUUCCGACGUCGAGAUGGGUGAGGCCACUUCUCUGGCUCCG